Molecule: long non-coding RNA, 1410 nt
Filed under: Monodelphis domestica (gray short-tailed opossum)
Lineage: Eukaryota; Metazoa; Chordata; Mammalia; Didelphimorphia; Didelphidae
Description: lncRNA (ENSMODG00000039386.1)
Source: RNAcentral
CUGGUUGGCUGGGAGAGGCAGGAGGAGGCGGUUUCCUGGGUAACGAAGGAGCGAGGAGCAGUUCUAGGAGCAGCAGCAGGAGCAGCAGCAGCAGCAGCAGCAGCAGCCACCACCACAACCACCACUGCUGCCGCCUCCUCCUCUCAGGCUGAGGAGCUUGGGGUCGAAACGCAGCUGGGAAGAGAAGCAAGAAGAGGCGGCUCUGGCGAGUUGGAGCUAGGUCAGGUACUUGUUGGAGUUCAUGAAACAUUACAACCAGCAUAAUGAGCAUGUGCUAGCUGGAUGCAAGGCAGUUCCUGGUGCCAAGUAUUUCUAUUGAUUUAUGGGAGGAAGGGGCUCCAGGAGAGGGAUGCUGAUGCUAUCAUGGCACUGGAUUAAAUGCCCAUUUGUACCUUUAUCGACAAAUAAAUUUUCCAUGCCAAGAAGGCAGUGAUGUGGCACAGGCCCCUGGAUGUGGACUCCUCCAUGCUGCUUCUUGCCCUGGAUCGAGUGAGGUGAAUUCCAGAUUGGAGCUAAGAUCCCAAGCUCUCACAAUGUCUUCGGCUUUGUUUAUUGUCCCUGAGGCAUUGAUGGCAAGCAAACUUUCGAAAUGGAUUUUAAGAAACCAAGAAGAUAUUUGAAAGGCUGUUCUUGGUUUUUUUUCCUAGUGGCUGUAUGUGUAUUUGAGCGAAUGUAUGCUUCAUUUCCCUCCCCAUGUUUUUUAUUCAACUGUGGAUUUGGAAGAAAAACUUUUAAAAAGAGAGAAGAGUAUUGUAUUUCUGGGAAAUGGAAUCUGUCCCUGAGUCCGGCCAACAUCAGAAGAGAAAACCAGUGACACAUGGCCUGGAAGAUCAAAAGAGGCUUAAACUAGACUGGAACUGGACCAUGGAAUGUGUCCAGGGUAAGUUUACUACCAGUCUGGAUCUUUCAUCAGCUACUCACGGGCAUCCUCUCCAUCAGGGUGUGUACACAAGCAUGCCAGACUUUGCAAUGGCUGACAAAGAAGAGAAAAGGUAGGACACAAAUUCAUAUAUAAAUGUGAUGUCUGGGAAAGUCUCUGCAUAAUCUCACAUGGAUCAAAUGACCAUAGAUUUCAAGUUGAAAGGGACGUUAGAGUUUAUCUAAUCCAAACCCUUCAUGUUUCAAAUAAGGAAACUGAGGCCAGUUAGGCUUAGAUACUAGCCCAAAGCCACACAAGUAUUAAGUGGCAAAGCUAGAAUUCAAACCCAGAUCCUUUGAUUUCCACUCCCUUUCUACUGUCAUAGUUUGCCUCACUGACUAGAUGGCCAUCCCAGAGCUUUGAAUGGCAAAUGUUUGAAAUGAUAAGCAAUGAAAAAUACUUAUCCCACAAAUGCUUAACCUGUGUUAAGGCUUACCCAUGGCAAAUAUUUCAAAGGAGUGGAUUAAAGAAAGGAAGAUCAUUUAUUAAGC